Priapulus caudatus is the source of this 1014-nucleotide long non-coding RNA. RefSeq lists it as uncharacterized. The transcript has 4 exons. The record is from RefSeq and is a predicted model, not a curated record. NCBI's taxonomy places the organism in Eukaryota, Metazoa, Priapulida, Priapulimorpha, Priapulimorphida, Priapulidae.
UAGAUUCCAGUGCUUAGCUCAGGGUGGAGGGACAUGUCAAAGUCUAGGAGUAUAGGAAGGGAUAUAGUGCAUAGUGGUGGUUCAGGGCGGAGGGAUAGGUCAAAGUCUGGGAGUAUAGGAAGAGAUAGAGUGCAUAGUGGUCAUUCAGGGCGCAGGGACAGGUCAAAGUCUAGGAGUAUAGAAAGGGAUAUAGUGCAUAGUGGUGGGUGGUUGGUGGGGUGGUGGGUGGCGCCCUGGCGCAGGGACAGGUCAAAGUCUAGGAGUAUAGGAAGGGAUAUAGUGCAUAGUGGUCGUUCAGGGCGCAGGACAGGGUCAAAGUCUAGGAGUAUACAUGUAGGAAGGGAUAGAUCGCAUAGUGGUGGUUCAGAGCGCGACAGUGUAUAUAGAUUUAUAACACCUAGACGCAGGGAGACUCAGAGAAGUUUAGAUAGUUUUUUAACAUUUAGUGGCUCAGGAUGCAGAAACAGCAGUGUAGAUAGGGUUAGAACCCCUGCUAGUUCAACCUCACAUGCAGGACAAAGAGGGAGGACUAUUAGAGGAUAGGUGUAGCAAGUCAGGGAUUGGAGGGGAGACUCCUGCUCGAAAAAGGUCCAGAGCGGCAUCUGAAAGUUCACGGCCUUCAACAAAAAGAUUUUGCUCUGCUGACGACAGAUACCCCAGCUCUUUCAGAAGCGAAAUUCCAGAAAGGUGUGAUCAAGCUGCUGCUUUCCAUCAGGGACACCAUGCUGCUGGCCAUUGCCCCUGAUGGAUCAUCAACCCCACCAACCCCUGUCGACACAGUGGAGGAGUUUGACAUACUAGAGGAAAGGUUGGCCGGACGAUGAGAUGGAAAGAGCAACCCUAAAAAGGGAUUUCAGAAGGCUUGGGGGAGUGGAUGCAACAGACAUGAGAAAAAAGUCCAUGUCUGCCUAACUCCCUGAGUAAUAAGAUUAUGGCAAAGAUGAAUCUGAAGGAAAAGUGCGCAAAAAUAGCUUUCGCCAAAUCGCGGCUGUGUAAAACCAUUUGUGGUAAGUG